UACAACAGGUCCUUGAAUAAUUUCAUUUUGUUCAAUGUCGUUUUAUGAAAACGUAGAUGAGAAAAGAGAAUCUGUUCUCCGCUGGGGCUACUGUCUCUGUGCAAUUUGCAUAUUCUCCCCAUGUCUGUGUGGGUUUUCUUUGUUUGCUCUUGUUUCCUCCCACAUCCUAAAAAUAUGCACCUUAGUUUACUUGGUGUGUAUACAGUGUCCCAGCAUGAGUAAGUGUGAGUGUCUGGGUGAAUGCACCCUGUGAGGAAAUGACGUCCUGUCUAGGACUGGUACCCACCUUGCGUCCUGAGCUGCCUGGACGUCUUUAGCCACCUGAAAACCUGAACUGGAGUAAUGUGCAUUUCUGAUGAUUGACAGCAAGGAGUACAUAGUCUGCACCAAAAGAACACCUCCCCAUUGUUGCAGAAACCUCCUAUGAUCAUGCACUGGAAAAUCAAAUUGUGGAAGUUUAUGGAAAGAACAUAGGACAUAUUUUAACAGAGGUCUACAGGAAGGGAAAUCAUUAGUAUCUCUAUUGAAAGGCCCACGUGAUUAAGAGCUGAGGUAUCUGAGCAACAGCCAGCAAGGAACUGAGGCCUCCUGCCAAAAGCCUUACGGAGUCUCGCUCUUUCGCCCAGGCCGGACUGCAAUGUUGCUAUCUAUCGCCCAGGCUGGAGUGGAGUGGCACGAUCUCGGCUCACUGCAAACUCCGCCUCCCGGGUUCACGCCAUUCUCCUGCCUCAGCCUCCUGAGUAGCUGGGAUUACAGGAGCCCACCACCGCGACCAGCUAAUUUUUUGUAUUUUUAGUAGAGACGGGGUUUCACCGUGUUAGCCAAGAUGGUCUGGAUCUCCUGACCUCGUGAUCCGCCCGCCUCGGCCUCCCAAAGUGCUGGGAUUACAGGCGUGAGCCACCGCGCCAGGCCACUGACUCUUAAGCAGUUAUCGCAGGUCCAGGUUUUUUACCAUGUUGUCUUUCCUAAGGCUGAGCAGUCUUCUCAAGACUUUUCCUACACAUAGAAGACAGGGAAGUCACGGGGGGGCGGCUUUAAGUACUGAACAAUUGUUUAUUUUAACUUAUGAUUAUAAUUUCUCAUCUAGCAGUACAACUGUUUCAGGGACUUGAUGGGCUGCUUUUUUAUUUGACUCCCCUUCAUUGCAUGUGCUAAAAACCACAGCCACAAUUCUUUGGAGACAUGACUAAGUAUGAUGGACUGAAUGUGUCCCUCCCGCAAAAUGUGUAUGUUGAGAUCCUAAACUUGAACAUGAUGGUAUUUGGAAGUGGGUCCUUUGGAAGGUAAUUAGGUUAUGAGGUUGGAGCACUCAUGAAUGGGAUUAGCAUCCUUAUAAGAGAUACCAAGGGGGGCUUUUGCCCUCUUUUAGCCAUGUAAGGAUGUAAUGAGAAACAAGAGUCUGAAACAAAGAAGAGGACCGUCACCUGAACCCAGCCUCGUCAGCAUCUUGAUCUCUGACUUCCAGCCUCUAGAGCUGUGAGAAAUAAAUUUUUGUUGCUUAAAAGCCACCCAAUGUAUGACACUUGGUUGCCAAAGUCUAAACUAAGAUACUGAGUAACUACGUUUUGUGUAAGAUGAGCGUAUCAGUUUUCCACAGAAAAUACAUGCUUUAUUGAAGUUGCCUCUUUCCAACCUCUAAGUCUCUGAUGUCUGUUUUCAUGAUGGCUAAAAAUUUUCUGAACUUGUUUCCUUAUAAUAUCUUGUCUAAUGCAGCCAACAGUUUACUACCUUUGCUCUUAAAUUCCCUUUUCCAACCUUUGCAUUCAGUAGGUCAUUUGUUUUGGUAAAUAAAAUCUUAAUAGUAUGCAUCUAUAUCCAUUUGUUUAUAUAUUGUCUCUAGCUAUUUUCCUGCUAUGACAGCAGCAUUGAAUAGUUGCAAUAGAGAACAUAUGGCCCCCAAAACCUAGAAUAUUUACUAUCUGCCCCUUUAUAAAAAAUAUUUGCCAACCCUUGAUCUAGAGCCAAAAGCUUAUUAUAUGCAAGUGCUUUACCAAAUUUCUGCUACUACAUAACAAAAAUAGAUCCAAUAGCA
Molecule: long non-coding RNA, 2032 nt
Filed under: Homo sapiens (human)
Lineage: Eukaryota; Metazoa; Chordata; Mammalia; Primates; Hominidae
Description: HSALNT0019086
Source: RNAcentral